This 483-nucleotide ribosomal RNA is filed under the name uncultured bacterium. Its description in RNAcentral is "partial 16S ribosomal RNA". It matches the Rfam family "Bacterial small subunit ribosomal RNA", at positions 30 to 507 of the family's 1533-position model. The record is from RNAcentral.
UUGAACGCUGGCGGCAGGCCUCACACCUGCCAGUCGAGCGGAUGAAGGGAGCUUGCUCCUGGAUUCAGCGGCGGACGGGUGAGUAAUGCCUAGGAAUCUGCCUGGUAGUGGGGGAUAACGUCCGGAAACGGGCGCUAAUACCGCAUACGUCCUGAGGGAGAAAGUGGGGGAUCUUCGGACCUCACGCUAUCAGAUGAGCCUAGGUCGGAUUAGCUAGUUGGUUGGGUAAAGGCCUACCAAGGCGACGAUCCGUAACUGGUCUGAGAGGAUGAUCAGUCACACUGGAACUGAGACACGGUCCAGACUCCUACGGGAGGCAGCAGUGGGGAAUAUUGGACAAUGGGCGAAAGCCUGAUCCAGCAAUGCCGCGUGUGUGAAGAAGGUCUUCGGAUUGUAAAGCACUUUAAGUUGGGAGGAAGGGCAGUAAGUUAAUACCUUGCUGUUUUGACGUUACCAACAGAAUAAGCACCGGCUAACUUCGUG